CUAUGCGCCUUGCCAGCCCGCUCAGGUGUGCCAGCAGCCGCGGUAAUACGGAGGAUGCGAGCGUUAUCCGGAUUUAUUGGGUUUAAAGGUGCGUAGGCGGUCCGUUAAGUCAGCGGUAAAAUUGCGGGGCUCAACCCCGUCGAGCCGUUGAAACUGUCAGACUUGAGUUGGCGAGAAGUACGCGGAAUGCGCGGUGUAGCGGUGAAAUGCAUAGAUAUCGCGCAGAACUCCGAUUGCGAAGGCAGCGUACCGGCGCCACACUGACGCUGAGGCACGAAAGCGUGGGGAUCGAACAGG
This 297-nucleotide ribosomal RNA is filed under the name uncultured bacterium. RNAcentral's name for it is "partial 16S ribosomal RNA". It matches the Rfam family "Bacterial small subunit ribosomal RNA", at positions 475 to 776 of the family's 1533-position model. The record is from RNAcentral.